CGUUGCCUGCACCUGCCGGCGACCGGCGCACGGGUGAGUAACACGUAUGGAACCUGCCCGCCACAGGGGGAUAACCCGGGGAAACCCGGCCUAAUACCCCAUGCCGCCCGGACCGGGCAUCCGGUCCGGGCGAAAGGAGGAAUCCGGUGGCGGCUGGGCAUGCGGCGCAUUAGCUUGACGGCGGGGUAACGGCCCACCGUGGCGACGAUGCGUAGGGGUUCUGAGAGGAACGGCCCCCCACACUGGAACUGAGACACGGUCCAGACUCCUACGGAAGGCAGCAG
This 284-nucleotide ribosomal RNA is filed under the name uncultured bacterium. Its description in RNAcentral is "partial 16S ribosomal RNA". It matches the Rfam family "Bacterial small subunit ribosomal RNA", at positions 66 to 354 of the family's 1533-position model. The record is from RNAcentral.